UUGGAGGGCAAGUCUGGUGCCAGCAGCCGCGGUAAUUCCAGCUCCAAUAGCGUAUAUUAAAGUUGUUGCAGUUAAAAAGCUCGUAGUUGAAUUUCGGGGUUAGUAGGUUGGUCAUGCCCCUGGUAUGUACUGGUCUCACUGAUUCCUCCUUCCUGAUGAGCCGUAAUGCCAUUAAUUUGGUGUUGCGGGGAAUUUGGACUGUUACUUUGAAAAAAUUAGAGUGUUUAAAGCAAGCUAACGCUUGAAUACAUUAGCAUGGAAUAAUGAAAUAGGACGUUCGAUCCUAUUUUGUUGGUUUCUAGGAUUGACGUAAUGAUUAAUAGGGAUAGUUGGGGGCAUUAGUAUUCAAUUGUCAGAGGUGAAAUUCUUGGAUUUAUUGAAGACUAACUACUGCGAAAGCAUUUGCCAAGGAUGUUUUCAUUAAUCAAGAACGAAAGUUAGGGGAUCGAAGACGAUCAGAUACCGUCGUAGUCUUAACCAUAAACUAUGCCGACUAGGGAUCGGAUGAUGUUAAUUUUUUAAUGACUCAUUCGGCGCCUUACGGGAAAC
RNAcentral lists this ribosomal RNA (549 nucleotides) under uncultured Glomeromycotina. Its description in RNAcentral is "SSU rRNA". It matches the Rfam family "Eukaryotic small subunit ribosomal RNA", at positions 548 to 1098 of the family's 1831-position model. The record is from RNAcentral. Lineage: Eukaryota; Fungi; Glomeromycota.